AGGACGAACGCUGGCGGCGCGCUUAACACAUGCAAGUCGAGCGAGAACCGGGGCUUCGGCCCUGGGGACAGCGGCGAACGGGUGAGUAACACGUGGGUAAUCAACCCUCGGCACCGGGAUAGCCCGAGGAAACUCGGAUUAAUACCGGAUAGCCCCUCCGACUCUCGAGUCGGUCGGGAAAGGUAGCUUAGGCCUCUGGCCGGGGACGAGCCCGCGGCGGAUUAGCUUGUUGGUGGGGUAAUGGCCUACCAAGGCGACGAUCCGUAGCUGGUCUGAGAGGACGAUCAGCCACACUGGGACUGAGACACGGCCCAGACUCCUACGGGAGGCAGCAGUGGGGAAUCUUGCGCAAUGGGCGAAAGCCUGACGCAGCGACGCCGCGUGAGGGAAGAAGGCCUUCGGGUUGUAAACCCUUUCAGGAGGACGAAGGUUCGGCGGUGAUAGCCGUCCGGACUGACGGUACCUCCACAAGAAGCCCGGCUAACUACGUGCCAGCACGCCGC
This 503-nucleotide ribosomal RNA is filed under the name uncultured bacterium. RNAcentral's name for it is "SSU rRNA". It matches the Rfam family "Bacterial small subunit ribosomal RNA", at positions 26 to 518 of the family's 1533-position model. The record is from RNAcentral.